Molecule: ribosomal RNA, 492 nt
Filed under: uncultured bacterium
Lineage: Bacteria
Description: partial 16S ribosomal RNA
Rfam family: Bacterial small subunit ribosomal RNA
Source: RNAcentral
GACGAACGCUGGCGGCGCGCUUAACACAUGCAAGUCGAACGGAAGGCCUGCUUUCCCUUGUGGAUUGCGGGUACUCGAGUGGCGAACGGGUGAGUAACACGUGAGUGAUCUGCCCCCAACUUGGGUAUAAGCCUGGGAAACUGGGUCUAAUUCCCGAUAGGACUGCAGGGUGGUGCCUGUGGUGGAAAACGAUUUUCUAGUGGUUGGGGAUGAGCUCGCGGCCUAUCAGCUUGUUGGUGGGGUAAUGGCCUACCAAGGCGGCGACGGGUAGCCGGCCUGAGAGGGUGGACGGCCACAUUGGGACUGAGAUACGGCCCAGACUCCUACGGGAGGCAGCAGUGGGGAAUAUUGCACAAUGGCGGAAGCCUGAUGCAGCGACGCCGCGUGGGGGAUGACGGCCUUCGGGUUGUAAACUCCUUUCGACCGCGAGGAAGCCACCUGGUUGGAAGGGUGGUGACGGUAGUGGUAGAAGAAGCACCGGCUAACUACGUG